AACGAACGCUGGCGGCAUGCCUAACACAUGCAAGUCGAACGAGACCUUCGGGUCUAGUGGCGCACGGGUGCGUAACGCGUGGGAACCUGCCCUUAGGUUCGGAAUAACUCCCCGAAAGGGGUGCUAAUACCGGAUAAUGUCUUCGGACCAAAGAUUUAUCGGCUUUGGGUGGUGCCGCGUUGGAUUAGCUAGUUGGUAGUUUAAUCGCCUACAAAGGCGCCGAGCCAAAGCUGGUCUGUGAGGAUGAUCAGGCACACUGGGACUGAGACACGGCCCAGACUCCUACGGGAGGCAGCAGGGGGGAAUAUUGGACGAUGGGCGAAAGCCUGAGCCAGCAAUGCCGCGUGAGUGAUGAAGACGUUAGGGUUGUAAAGCUCUUUUAACCGGGAUGAUAAUGACAGUACCGUAAGAAUAAGCGACGGCUAACUCCGUG
This 433-nucleotide ribosomal RNA is filed under the name uncultured bacterium. RNAcentral's name for it is "partial 16S ribosomal RNA". It matches the Rfam family "Bacterial small subunit ribosomal RNA", at positions 29 to 507 of the family's 1533-position model. The record is from RNAcentral.